Molecule: long non-coding RNA, 3036 nt
Organism: Mus musculus (house mouse)
Lineage: Eukaryota; Metazoa; Chordata; Mammalia; Rodentia; Muridae
Product: predicted gene, 46916
Exons: 2
Source: RefSeq, a predicted model, not a curated record
GGAAAGAAGCUGACGGGUUUCCUCUAAUGAUCUGCAGCCGGCAGCAGCUGGCUUGUCUGCUCCAAGGUUUGCUGCUGUCAUCCUGUAGGCAGUCGCUGCAUGAUCGCUUUGGGAAGAGAAGACAGCCAGCUGGUAGAGGGCAAACAGUGUUUGCAGUAGCAGACAAGGGACAACAGCCACGGGGAGAGGAGAAAAAACAGAGUCAGGUCCAGGGUACAGAGACAACCCACCUUACCGGUUUAACACCAGCCCAAAGGAAUACAUAGAACAUGGAAUGGAUAUUAGAAAUGUAGGUUGCCUCUCAGGCCGCAUUACAGUUGUAGGGGAACUGAUUCCAUUUAACAUAGAAAGGCUCACAGAUGAUAGUUUAGAUAUAUAGGCAUUAUCCAAUUAAGGGAACUUUGGAAGGAGCCCAUAUCCAGCCACCUGUACUAGAGGAUAGAGCGCUCUAAGUCAUGUUGGACUUUAGCCAAAUGUGCCUCAUGGUCUGAGCUUUGUACCUACCGCUGGCUGAGUUAUUGUGUCCACAGAAGAGAGACUUGGUGAGUGCUUGAAAGGAACUUUCUGGGUUCUUUCUUUUGUUUUUGCUUUUAUUUGUUUGUUUGUUUUCUUUUUUCUUUUCCUUAAGGAAAGUGGCUUCAUUAAAAAUUUUUCUGUCUCAUGAUGUCUCACCGGAUGGUGGGCAUUGAAACCCUCUCAUCAUCCACCUUACUACAGAGAACUGGGCGUGGAGAUUAUAACCCCUCCUAAUUGAGCACCUUUCAGAAAGGUCCAGCUUUCUGCUCAUCUAUAAACCACCUGAGACAAGGGAACAACUGUUCUAUAAGGUUCAAAUCCAGGCCGCUGAAGCUACAGGAGAACUAACAGGCGUGGGCAUCUUAACAAGUCACAUUGCCAUUCGUUAUCUACCAGCCUAGCAAGGUCCUGUGGUGAGAGACCCCGUGGGAACCUUGAUCAUCGGUGAAACAGGUAGAGAGACCGAGGAAGGACACUGCUAAAUGACUUCUCUAACACUCUUCAAAGGCUUCCUGGAGCUGGCUGGCAUUAAAGGCCAGGCCCUUGCUUCCUGCUCUACCACAUCUUGAUAGAUAUUCCCCAGGAACAAUGAGAACACACUCUCCAAUAAUUAUUAGUGACAAAGAUGAAGUUUCAGACAAUACAUAGGACAUUUCUCCAACAUGUUCUUUUCCUAUUGGGAUUGCUCAUUCCAUGGUUGUCAUUAGCAACAAGAUAAUCAAUGACAUAGAUUCAUAUAGUCAGUCCCGACUCAUAUCUAACUCACGUCCUAUAGCUCCACUACCUAAUUCACAACCACUGUAUCACAUGCUUGCUGAAAUGGGCUUAUUUUUAAAAUUAUUAUUGUUCUUAUCAUUAGUGUUUUUAUAAUGUGUGUGUGUAUGUGAGAGAGAGACAGAGAGAGACGGAGAGAGGGAGAGAGAGAGAUAGAGGGAGUGUGCAUUAGUGUUUCUACGUGUGUGUGUGGGGGGGGGGGAUAGACAGAGACAGAGAGACAGAGAGAGGAAGUAUGCAUUAGUUUUUCUAAGUGUGUGUGUGUAUGAGAGAGAGAGAAAGAGACAGAAAGAGGAAGUGUACAUUAGUGUUUCUAAGUGUGUGUGUGUGAGAGACAGAGACAAAGAAAGAGAGAGAGAGAUGGAGGGAGUGUGUGUGCACACAUGGAUGGAGGUUAGAGGACAACUUUGUGGAACUGUGGGACAGGUUCCCUCGUUUCUCCUUUACCUGGAUUCCAGGGAUCACACUUGGGCCACUGGACUCAUGCAACAAACGCUCUAUCUGAUGAGCUGCCUCACUAGCUCUUAAGUGUAUUUUUUUUUUUUCAAGACAAGGUUUCUCUGUGUAGCCCUGGCUGUCCUGGAACUCACUCUGUAGAUCAGCCUGGCCUCGAACUCAGAAAUCUGCCAGCCUCUGCCUCCCAAGUGCUGGGAUUAAAGGCAUGCGCCACCACUGCCCAGCUUCUAGGUGUAUUUUUAAAUUUGCAUCACACCCAUUCUUUCCAUGCUUCCUGUUUAUUGCUUGCUUGAGUAACCAUUCUGCUGACUGGGGCUUCAUCCUACCCUUCACAUUCUUUUCAUUAGCGAUUUCUUUGAUGCCAUCCCCUAGAUAUUUGUUUUAAUCUCUUAAUUUUUAUUGACAUGUAUUAUCAUUAUAUCUCACCAGGACCAUUGGCAUUUGUCUCCCUCUCCUCUUCAAAUUAUUCUCCACACCACCUCACUGUCAUUUUCCCAAAUUAUAAAUAUUGCUUUGUUAUUAUUUUGUCUGAAACUUUACGCUGUCUUCUUUGCAUCUACUGGUGCAAGCCAACUUGUUAUUUGUAGUGUCAGAUUCUAUAGACACAGAAAUCCUUAUGUUUUUUGCAUUUAUUGAGUUACUGUAUGCCUAACCCAUCUUUGCACAUACAGUUUCCUUCAUCUAAAACACCGUCUUCUGCUCCCUUUCCUCAUAUGUUCCCCUUAUUAUUCUGAUUCAUCCUUCAAAAUCCAGUAUACACAGGCCAAUGAGAUGGCUCAGUGGGUAAGGACACUUGUCCCUAAGCCCAAUGACUUGAGUUUGACCCUUGGCUUCCAUGUGAUGGAAGAAGAUCACCAACUCUCAAAAGCUGGUCUCCAACCUCCAUUCAUGUGCCAUAGCACUCACUUGCUCUACUGAUUAAUAAAUAGAUGUACAAAAUUAUUAAAGAGAAGAUAUAUAGAUGUUGGAGGUAUAGUUCAGUUGUAAACACUUUUCAUAGUAUGCACAAGCCCUGGGUUCCAUCCCCAGAACUGAAUAAUAAUAAUAAUAAUAAUGAUAAUGAUAAUGAUAAUAUAGCAACAACAACAACAACAACAAUAUCCAGUCAUCCCUAAAGGCAGAGCUUAUUUUUUGGUUUCUAUGUCAAGCCCUGCAUAUACUUCUAUUAUUACAUAGCACAUCACAUUAUAAACCCUUAUUUAUGUACUAUCAUGGUAUUUAUCUUUGUCCAAAUGCCUAGCACAAUGCCUGAUUGAAUAUCAAAAUAAAUAAGUGAAAUAGACAGAUUUA